UACGUGGGGUGCAAACGUUGCUCGGAAUCACUGGGCUUAAAGCGUGCGUAGGCGGCCCAUCUUGUCGGAUGUGAAAUCCCUCGGCUUAACCGAGGAAGGGCAUCCGAGACGGACGGGCUUGAGUACCGGAGAGGGCGACGGAAUUCCCGGUGUAGUGGUGAAAUACGUAGAUAUCGGGAGGAACACCGGCGGCGAAGGCGGUCGCCUGGACGGAUACUGACGCUGAGACACGAAAGCGUGGGGAGCAAACAGG
RNAcentral lists this ribosomal RNA (253 nucleotides) under uncultured Anaeromyxobacter sp. RNAcentral's name for it is "partial 16S ribosomal RNA". It matches the Rfam family "Bacterial small subunit ribosomal RNA", at positions 524 to 776 of the family's 1533-position model. Lineage: Bacteria; Pseudomonadati; Myxococcota; Myxococcia; Myxococcales; Anaeromyxobacteraceae. The record is from RNAcentral.